Clarias gariepinus (North African catfish) is the source of this 264-nucleotide long non-coding RNA. RefSeq lists it as uncharacterized. The transcript is spliced from 3 exons. The record is from RefSeq and is a predicted model, not a curated record. NCBI's taxonomy places the organism in Eukaryota, Metazoa, Chordata, Actinopteri, Siluriformes, Clariidae.
GCUCUUAGGUUAUACUCAAACUGGACUUUAUGUCUCUAACUCCGUUUUGCGUGCCCUCCUGGUGUCACUGAAGAAGUUGCCUCCUAGUAUGCCGCCUGAACAGAGAGUCAAGGAGUUUUUGUCGUUGCUGACAGAAAAGAGCACUUAAGCACAUCAUGACGUGCUGAUGGAAUCAACCUGUUUAAAAUAAAGUUUAUGAAAAGUUUGUUUUUUAAAAAUGUAAAUUGUUUAGAAUUCAUUUUUUGUUAACGAAUGUUUUACAAA